Molecule: unclassified non-coding RNA, 218 nt
Filed under: Hevea brasiliensis (rubber tree)
Lineage: Eukaryota; Viridiplantae; Streptophyta; Magnoliopsida; Malpighiales; Euphorbiaceae
Source: RNAcentral
GUUAACGGGCAAUGCUUCAAUGUGAGAUUGUAGUUUUUUUUUAGCCUAUUUUAGUCUUUUAUAUCUGCUAUUGUAGUUAUUCCGAGUAGUUUAGGGAUAGAUUUGCUUAGGUUGUGGUUGCAUAUAGGUGUUUUGCCAUGGCUAUGGUCUCCAUAUUGAGUCAUAUGCUCUGUAAAAAUCUAUGUUAACCAAGCUAGUGGGAGGAUUCUAUGGGUUGG